CGAGUCGAGUUGUUUGGGAAUGCAGCUCAAAAUGGGUGGUAAAUUUCAUCUAAAGCUAAAUACCGGCUGGAGACCGAUAGCGCACAAGUAGAGUGAUCGAAAGAUGAAAAGCACUUUGGAAAGAGAGUUAAAAAGCACGUGAAAUUGUUGAAAGGGAAGCGCUUGCGACCAGACCUGCCCGUUGGCGAUCAACCGCCGUUUUCGGUGGUGCACUCGUCAGCGCGCAGGCCAGCAUCGGUUUGGGCGGUCGGACAAAGGCCUUGGGAAUGUAGCUCCCCUCGGGGAGUCUUAUAGCCCUCGGUGCAAUGCGGCCAGCCCGGAUCGAGGACCGCGCUUCGGCUAGGAUGCUGGCGUAAUGGUUGCAAGCGACCCGUCUUGAAACACGGACCAAGGAGUCUAACAUCUAUGCGAGUGUUUGGGUGUCAAACCCAUGCGCGCAAUGAAAGUGAACGGAGGUGAGAACCCGUUAGGGUGCAUCAUCGACCGAUCCUGAUGUCUUCGGAUGGAUUUGAGUACGAGCAUAGCUGUUGGGACCCGAAAGAUGGUGAACUAUGCCUGAAUAGGGUGAAGCCAGAGGAAACUCUGGUGGAGGCUCGCAGCGGUUCYGACGUGCAAAUCGAUCGUCAAAUUUGGGUAUAGGGGCGAAAGACUAAUCGA
RNAcentral lists this ribosomal RNA (657 nucleotides) under Neoprotoparmelia corallifera. RNAcentral describes it as "eukaryotic LSU rRNA". It matches the Rfam family "Eukaryotic large subunit ribosomal RNA", at positions 261 to 938 of the family's 3401-position model. Lineage: Eukaryota; Fungi; Ascomycota; Lecanoromycetes; Lecanorales; Parmeliaceae. The record is from RNAcentral.